UUUUGCUGUACUACUCUCCACUCAACCACCCAGACCGGGAAGCAGGUUAUCCUUGACACCUCCUCUCUUCUCCCCCAACCUCGAAGUCCUCACAAAGCCCUACCCAUUAAGCCUGCUGAAUAUUUCUCCAACCAUUCCAUCAUUUCCAUUGCUCUCUGAGACCUUCAUCAUCCUCUCCAGAACUAUUAGAGCAGGGUGCUCACUGAUCUUCCUACUGCUAGUCUUGGCCGUACCCAAUCUAAUUUCAAGCCCAUUUUCAGAAGAACACGUUUAAAAAGCAGACCUGUGUUGCUUUCCUGAUGAAAAACCUUCAAAAGCCUCAGUGAUUUAUGGGAUGGGACCCAGGCUCUUUAGCCUGAUGAAGUACCCCUCCAUCCUCGGACUGUCUGCUAUGUCCGGUCUUAUCC
This 407-nucleotide long non-coding RNA is filed under the name Mustela putorius furo (domestic ferret). RNAcentral describes it as "lncRNA (ENSMPUG00000027710.1)". The record is from RNAcentral. Lineage: Eukaryota; Metazoa; Chordata; Mammalia; Carnivora; Mustelidae.